GGUUUAGCCUAUAAAAAUUUAUUUAAAAAGAUUAAAAGCCAAAGAAGGUGUCAGUCCUGUAAUGAUAAAUUAAAUAAAUUAUAAAGUAAAAUGUUAUAUGUUAAAUAAUAUUUGAAAAUGACAAAAACUAUUGUUGGCUUAAAUACUAUUUAUAAUCGAUAGCGAACUAGUAAUGUAAAUGAAAGUUGAAAAAGUUUCCAUUUUUGGAUAUUUAAAAGAAACUGAAAUUUCAAACUAAUUAGUAGUUAUUGCUUUUUUAUAAGUUAAUUAAAAAAAUUUAUAAGGAUAUAAGUAAUAGUGUACCUUUUGCACAAGGGUCCAACAAGUUAAUUUAUAUAGCAAGUCAAAAUGAGACGUAAAGAAAUUAAGUUUGAAAAAUAGCUAAUAGUUAUAUGAAUUAAACCCGAAACCAAAGGAUUUAACCGUGAACAAGCCGAAAAUAAGUUUUAUUGGAGGGCUGAACCAAUAUUUGUUGCAAUAAAUUUAGGAUGAUUUACGGUUCGGAGUGAAAAGCUAAUCGACUUUGGUGAUAGCUGGUUUUCUGCGAAAACUAUUUAGGUAGUGUGUUAUUAAUAAAUAAUAAAUUAGGU
This 590-nucleotide ribosomal RNA is filed under the name uncultured bacterium. RNAcentral's name for it is "bacterial LSU rRNA". It matches the Rfam family "Bacterial large subunit ribosomal RNA", at positions 296 to 903 of the family's 2925-position model. The record is from RNAcentral.